Molecule: long non-coding RNA, 802 nt
Filed under: Callithrix jacchus (white-tufted-ear marmoset)
Lineage: Eukaryota; Metazoa; Chordata; Mammalia; Primates; Cebidae
Description: lncRNA (ENSCJAG00000081044.1)
Source: RNAcentral
AAGGACUGAAGAAUGUUGGUUGAAAGGGUGAAGGAACGACGGAUGGAUGCCCUUCCUAAAUAGUAGGGGCGACACGCGCGAACGGAUCCGUGGCAUCCCGGCGUUAUGUCUCAGUGACAGCCAUGGCUGCUGGAGCGUUGCAGCCAGGGCUGGGGCAUCAUGAUGCUUCCGUGUUUCAUGCCGCAUUCUAAAGGCUGCUGUGUGACAUCAGAGCCACCGGAUGCAUGCACACAGAGAGGUGUCCUGCGGAUGGCAGAUUCUGUGAGUCCUCUUUUGCAUAAAACAUAAGCCAAAUAUUCGUCUGAUAGACGAUUUUAACAAAUCUGUGGAUCGGGGGAGAUAAAAAGGCAAUCGAUUGAGUUGCGAAUAUGCCAUUGGAAGAAAGAAAAGCAACUUGUCAUUGAUGGCAUUGUGACACUUCCACACCACCUGCGGUGACACUUCAUAAUCGAAUCCCCAACCCUUCACUGUCAAAUCUGAAGAGCAGCUAGUGGCUUCAUCUGAAACUGGUAAAGCACAUGUCAAGUCCGAAUGAAUUCCUUGCAGGCCAAGGCAUCUGAAGAUGGCGUCUCUGGCUCAGUGGCUCUUUUGUUUGUUGAAGAUAGGAUAUUGGGUGACAUUUGAUUCAGAUAAUUGGGUCAGAACUCAGCUCUGUGAUGUCCUGUGCAGCUCUGGUCUCCUGUGACUUCUCAAUGCAGGUGCUGAAGAGGACCUCAGCAAACAAAAAAACUGAGGCAGACAGACAGGCCAACAAAGCUAAUUAGAGUGGUUGCCAAGCGUUCCAGAACAUGUGGGAGAAAAU